AAGUAUAUGCAUAUUUUAUAUGUAGAAACUGCGAACGGCUCAUUAAAACAGUUAUAAUCUACUUGACAUUUUUUCUAUAAGGAUAACUACGGAAAAGCUGUAGCUAAUACUUGCUUUAGCACUCUUGAUUAAGUUCUUGAGUGUGUACUUGUUAAGCCUUUUAAGAAAAAAGUUAUUAACUUAAGGAAUUAUAACAAAGAAGCAACACGUAAAUGGAUUUUCCAUUUUUUAGUGUGUAUCAAUCGAGUUUCUGACCUAUCAGCUUUUGAUGUUAGGGUAUUGGCCUAACAUGGCUAUGACGGGUAACGGGGAAUUAGAGUUCGAUUCCGGAGAGGGAGCCUGAGAAAUAGCUACCACAUCUAAGGAAGGCAGCAGGCGCGUAAAUUACCCAAUUCUAAAGAAGAGAGGUAGUGACAAGAAAUAACAAUACAAGGCCAAUCUGGCUUUGUAAUUGGAAUGAUGGGAAUUUAAAACCUUCCCAAAACUCAAUUGGAGGGCAAGUCUGGUGCCAGCAGCCGCGGUAAUUCCAGCUCCAAUAGCGUAUAUUAAAAUUGUUGCAGUUAAAACGCUCGUAGUUGAAUUUCAAAGAAUCGAUAUUUUAAGUAGCACUUUGUAGAUUAAUCCACAUAACUGAUACUACGUAUCGACUUUGUGCGCAUUUUUCUACUUAUGUGUUCUUUUAAUUAAAAUGAUUCUUUUUAAGAUCUUUCUUUUUUGCUUCGGCAUUUUAGGAGAUCUUGUUACUUUGAGUAAAUUAGAGUGUUCAAAGCAAACAGAUUAUAGCAUCUUUAUGCGUUUGAAUACUACAGCAUGGAAUAACAAAAUUGAACAAGUCAGAAUUUUGUUCUUUUUUCUUAUUUUGGCUUAGUUACGAUUAAUAGGAGUAGCUUGGGGGCAUUUGUAUUCAGAUGUCAGAGGUGAAAUUCUUAGAUUUUCUGGAGACAAACAACUGCGAAAGCAUUUGCCUAAAAUACUUCCAUUAAUCAAGAACGAAAGUUAAGGGAGUGAAGACGAUCAGAUACCGUCGUAAUCUUAACCAUAAACUAUGCCGACUAGGCUUUGGAUGAAAGAUUUUAAAAUAAGAGUUUUUUCUCUGAGGAGUUAAAACUCUUAGAUUGCUUCCUUCAGUGCCUUAUGAGAAAUCAAAGUCUUUGGGUUCUGGGGCGAGUAUUCGCGCAAGCGAGAAAGUUAAAAGAAUUGACGGAAGGGCACCACCAGGCGUGGAGCUUGCGGCUUAAUUUGACUCAACACGGGAAAACUCACUAGUUUAAGACAAGAGUAGGAUUGACAGAUUGAGAGCUCUUUCUUGAUUUCUUGGAUGGUGAUGCAUGGCCGUUUUUAGUUCGUGAAUAUGAUUUGUCUGGUUAAUUCCGAUAACGAACGAGAUCUUAACCUGCUAAUUAGCGGCAAAUACGAUAUAUUCUUACGUGGAAUUGCAUACUUAUGGUUUGUCUCUAUUGAGCUGCAUAAUAAUGAAGGAUCGUGAUUGCUUUUCGUGUCAAUCUUUCUUAAUCGAAUCGUUGAUGUGUUUUGUAUAUCUCGUUCUUUCAUUACCUUGCAAUCACUCAUUUGCCUUAUCAUACUGUUUCUCUUUUGCGUAAGAAUGUAUUUGCUUGAUUGUAAAGCUUCUUAGAGGAACGAUGUGUGUCUAACACAAG
This 1658-nucleotide ribosomal RNA is filed under the name Plasmodium sp. LT7. RNAcentral's name for it is "SSU rRNA". It matches the Rfam family "Eukaryotic small subunit ribosomal RNA", at positions 61 to 1439 of the family's 1831-position model. Lineage: Eukaryota; Apicomplexa; Aconoidasida; Haemosporida; Plasmodiidae. The record is from RNAcentral.